RNAcentral lists this ribosomal RNA (250 nucleotides) under uncultured bacterium. Its description in RNAcentral is "partial 16S ribosomal RNA". It matches the Rfam family "Bacterial small subunit ribosomal RNA", at positions 525 to 775 of the family's 1533-position model. The record is from RNAcentral.
ACGGAGGAUGCAAGCGUUAUCCGGAUUUAUUAGGUUUAAAGGGUGCGUAGGCGGAAACUUAAGUCAGUGGUGAAAUCCUGCAGCUUAACUGUAGUUAGCCAUUGAUACUGGGUAUCUUGAGUUCGGUUGAGGUAGGCGGAAUGUGUUGUGUAGCGGUGAAAUGCAUAGAUAUAACACAGAACACCGAUUGCGAAGGCAGCUUACUAAACCGUUACUGACGCUGAGGCACGAAAGCGUGGGGAUCGAACAG